GCCACCCUAGCUCAGUUGGUAGAGCAAUGGUUUCGUAAACCAUAGGUCAGCGGUUCAAGUCCGCUGGGUGGCU
Molecule: transfer RNA, 73 nt
Filed under: Myxococcales bacterium
Lineage: Bacteria; Pseudomonadati; Myxococcota; Myxococcia; Myxococcales
Description: tRNA-Thr
Rfam family: tRNA
About the family: Transfer RNA (tRNA) molecules are approximately 80 nucleotides in length.
Source: RNAcentral